RNAcentral lists this transfer RNA (73 nucleotides) under Candidatus Giovannonibacteria bacterium GWA2_45_15. RNAcentral's name for it is "tRNA-Lys". It matches the Rfam family "tRNA". From Rfam's summary of the family: Transfer RNA (tRNA) molecules are approximately 80 nucleotides in length. Lineage: Bacteria; Candidatus Giovannoniibacteriota. The record is from RNAcentral. RNAcentral also lists the same sequence under 6 other names.
CCGCCCCUAGCUCAACCGGCAGAGCAAUCGGCUCUUAACCGAGAGGUUCUGGGUUCGACUCCCAGGGGGCGGA